AGGGAGUAGGGUGAAGGCGACGGAAGUUGACGUCACCCUCAGUCGCCAUGUUGGUUGAGAAUAAAGGGAUGGUUUUGGAGGCCUGGGCGGACUUCUUUGAUGAGGGGAAACCGCUUUCGCGGGAUCUGGUGGAUGUAGAUAUAUGGGUUUAUAGUUGGGGAAACUUAAUUGCCAGGAGGCGAGACUGAGAGUGUCACAGGGAUUGGACUUGACCUCAGACAUCUUGACGCUCAAACCAGGAUUCUAGCAUAAAAAUGGUAGCAAGAAGAGAAGAAAAUGGGCAUACUUACG
This 291-nucleotide long non-coding RNA is filed under the name Homo sapiens (human). Its description in RNAcentral is "non-protein coding lnc-LONP2-9:1". The record is from RNAcentral. Lineage: Eukaryota; Metazoa; Chordata; Mammalia; Primates; Hominidae.